Molecule: ribosomal RNA, 497 nt
Filed under: uncultured bacterium
Lineage: Bacteria
Description: partial 16S ribosomal RNA
Rfam family: Bacterial small subunit ribosomal RNA
Source: RNAcentral
GAUGAACGCUGGCGGCGUGCCUAAUACAUGCAAGUCGAGCGAACAGACGAGGAGCUUGCUCCUCUGACGUUAGCGGCGGACGGGUGAGUAACACGUGGAUAACCUACCUAUAAGACUGGGAUAACUUCGGGAAACCGGAGUUAAUACCGGAUAAUAUAUUGAACCGCAUGGUUCAAUAGUGAAAGACGGUUUUGCUGUCACUUAUAGAUGGAUCCGCGCCGCAUUAGCUAGUUGGUAAGGUAACGGCUUACCAAGGCAACGAUGCGUAGCCGACCUGAGAGGGUGAUCGGCCUCACUGGAACUGAGACACGGUCCAGACUCCCACGGAAGGCAGCAGUAGGGAAUCUUCCGCAAUGGGCGAAAGCCUGACGGAGCAACGCCGCGUGAGUGAUGAAGGUCUUCGGAUCGUAAAACUCUGUUAUUAGGGAAGAACAAAUGUGUAAGUAACUAUGCACGUCUUGACGGUACCUAAUCAGAAAGCCACGGCUAACUACGUG